Molecule: long non-coding RNA, 847 nt
Organism: Acipenser ruthenus (sterlet)
Lineage: Eukaryota; Metazoa; Chordata; Actinopteri; Acipenseriformes; Acipenseridae
Exons: 3
Source: RefSeq, a predicted model, not a curated record
CAGAGCUCUUUGUGGUGUCAUCCCAGCUCUGACACGUAUUUACUAGGCAAUUAUGGCAGGUGCGCAAAUAAUUCCACAGUUAGUUGUGACACACACAGCAGGGCUUAGGGAGCUGUUGUUGAAUUGACUAGCGUGGGAGAGUAUGAGACCCUUGUAAAGCGCAAUCCAGUUUUCACCAGGCUAGAAUUCCUUUCAUUUGUCAGAACCAGAUAUGUACUGUAAUUGAAAAGUCAGCCAUUUAGCUACAGAGUCAGGAACAAAGCAAGCCAUCAUCUUGUCAGUUUCUGCAGGCUAUAAUGUAAACUGGGAUUUUAGUCAAGCUGUAAAUCCAAUGGUGGUCCUAGAAUUAUCAUACUGUGGAGUAAAAAACUCACAAAAUACAAGGUGUAUGGCAAUUUGUUGGUCACCAUUUCAGAAGAAUUACAGCUGCUGGUGCAGUGUGCAACUGAUCGCUGGAAUAGUCAUUGUCGUCUUCUAUUACAGGCUGUGUCCUCUGAUCCUGGUUUCUGUAUACAAUAAGCCCUCUUCCACAUCCAACUCCCAAUUCUAUUAAGUAUACAGUAGAUAUCCUUCUUCCUGGUGUUGAUGGCUGAAGUGUAAUGCUGGCUCCAGGGAUCAGACUAUUUAGCCUCCCUGGCGCAUCGGCACACACAACGUCUGCAAUGCUGGCUUCAGGAAUCAACCACAGUGCAGCCUCCCUAGCGCAUCAGCAUGACAACUGUCUGGACUGAGCUGAGUAGGGUACUUCUCUGGGGUCUUCAAGUGGGCACCUUCCAUCCUUGGUGUUCCGUUGACUAGCCCAGGACACCUUAAGAGGGCUCAACAGUGAUUCUGGUGUCCCAGCAUC